This 463-nucleotide ribosomal RNA is filed under the name uncultured bacterium. RNAcentral's name for it is "partial 16S ribosomal RNA". It matches the Rfam family "Bacterial small subunit ribosomal RNA", at positions 28 to 507 of the family's 1533-position model. The record is from RNAcentral.
GAUGAACGCUGACAGAAUGCUUAACACAUGCAAGUCGAUGGGGAAGUGGUGCUUGCACCAUGGCAACCAUGGCGGACGGGUGAGUAACGCGUAAGGGACUUACCUGCAGGACUGGGAUAACAGGGGGAAACUCCUGACAAGACCGGAUAAUGUCAUGGAGCUGCAUGGCUUUAUGAUGAAAGGAGACGCCUGCGGAGAGCCUUGCGUCCUAUUAGCUAGUUGGUGAGGUAAUGGCUCACCAAGGCGAAGAUAGGUAGCCGGCCUGAGAGGGUGGACGGCCACAAGGGGACUGAGAUACGGCACUUACUCAUACGGGAGGCAGCAGUGGGGAAUAUUGGACAAUGGGGGCAACGCUGAUCCAGCAAUUCUGUGUGCACGAAGAAGGUUUUCGGAUUGUAAAGUGCUUUCAGAAGGGAAGAAGUAAGUGACGGUACCUGCAGAAGAAGCGACGGCUAAAUACGUG